This 406-nucleotide ribosomal RNA is filed under the name uncultured bacterium. RNAcentral's name for it is "partial 16S ribosomal RNA". It matches the Rfam family "Bacterial small subunit ribosomal RNA", at positions 30 to 526 of the family's 1533-position model. The record is from RNAcentral.
AUUGAACGCUGGCGGCAGGCCUAAUACAUGCAAGUCGAACGAGUGGCGGACGGGUGAGUAAUGUCUGGGAAACUGCCUGAUGGAGGGGGAUAACUACUGGAAACGGUAGCUAAUACCGCAUACCAUCGGAUGUGCCCAGAUGGGUUUAGCUAGUAGGUGGGGUAACGGCUCACCUAGGCGACGAUCCCUAGCUGGUCUGAGAGGCUGACCGGCCACACUGGAACUGAGACACGGUCCAGACUCCUACGGGAGGCAGCAGUGGGGAAUAUUGCACAAUGGGCGCAAGCCUGAUGCAGCCAUGCCGCGUGUAUGAAGAAGGCCUUCGGGUUGUAAAGUACUGUCAGCGGGGAGGCGUUACUCGCAGAGGAAGCACCGGCUAACUCCGUGCCAGCCGCCGCGGUAAUUC